AAGACCUGUUUAAAUCAGAGAAGCUCCAGGAAUGUGUCACUGUUUAACCAGUCCUUACAAGUAUUUUGAGAAGAAAAAUGUUUCCUCGUUGACUUAGAAGCUUUGAUUAUGCUGGUCCUCAAAAUAAAUACUUGUUCUCAAGUUAAUUUUACCACUGGGGCCUCGACUGUUCCCAGUUGUCCCUCCUCCCAUCCACUCGAAUAGGUCCCUGACCAUACAUGGUGUUAGUUGAAGAAAGCAGCAGCUCAGAGAGCUGGAGGAAGAAGUGAUCUGCCAUUUAAACAAGCCUGCGUGUGAAAGGGAGGACCCUGUAACAUGGACUCGGUAGCACUGACUGGCCAAGUAACUCCUCCACCGCAAACAUUUACACUGUAAUAGGCUAGUGUGGAGCUAAAAAUGGCCUCUGGAACUAUAACUGCUGAGAAACAGAAACUUCAGCUGCACUGUAUGUUUCGCUCAGCUUGUGAAGACUUGAAUCGACUUUUACUGCAAAUAGGAGUUUUUGGGUGUGUAUGUUGAAAGACGACAUUUGUUACAAGGUGCCAGUGAGUCAUGUAGUGAUACAAGCAUCAAUGAAUUGAGGAUACAACGUUCUUUAAGUUACACAUCAAACAGUUUCUUUAACAGCUUCGGUUAACAUUUCAACUUGUUCUUUAAAUACACACUGAUUUCAAGGAAUUUUAAAUAGCGUAAAUCUGGGUAUAAAUACCCAAAGGACUGUGUCUGAUUCAUGAAGUAGGUGUUUUCGAUGACAUUUGAGUUUGUAGAGGGGGAUAUGAUGACACAAUUCAUGCGAUGUUAUUCUAAUGAAGUGAGAGACAGCCUUCCUUCCUACAUUUUCAACACAAACUGACAGUGCAUGAAAUAUAUCACUCCAAACAGUCCUCACUGAAAAAAGGACAUUCAUGAAGGUUUUUUAAUAGCCUUUAUGUGCAUAUGAGACAGCCAUGAACCAUAAUUCUCAUCAUAAUGUGUUUUAUGGUCCCUAUCUGGCUUUAUCUGUCUCUAUUUCUUUUUAUCUCUCACUAUCAAAGAUGUGUGACGAUUUAUGAGCUUACAUAUUGUGCAUCACAAAAGCGGAAUUCAUUUCUGCUUUCACAUUCACAUAGCCCACUGCGUAUUGUAAUUUACAGUUUUGAAAGUUUCGGUUUUGCACUUUGACAUAGGGAAAUUAAAUCUGACUAAUCAAACAAAGGAUUAUUUAUACACUAUAUCUUUAAGUACUAUGCAGAAUUCAGUUUAUGGCUAGUUAAAUUAAAUAGUAGUCAAAAUAUGGGUUAUAUACUUAAGUAAAAACAAAACAUACUCAUUCUUUAUAGCAAAUAUAAUUAUAUAAAAUAUAGAUUUAAAAUUACUAAGAUUUUGUAUUUUGGGGGUUUUAAUAUUUCAUUAAACAAUCCUAAUUUUUAAUAUUUAGGACUUUUCUGUUUAUAAAGCAAUCUUAAGCCUCAUUUUUCUUCCGUUUUCAUGCUUUAAAAUCACUGAAUUAAAAUGUAAUAAAAAUAUAUAUUUUAAAAUCUAUUUUUAUUAUUUUAAAAAUUUUAUGAAUAAUAAAAUAUGGUAAAACUUACCAUCAAACAAAAAUGUACAAAAUAUACACAAAUUAAAUUCAUGCCCUGUCUGUGAAAAGUCUGCGCUACAGUAUGUCUUAUUGCCUUAUGAAUAAUGUAAACUGGAUAAAUGAAUGAUAAACUGAUGUAAAACCGCAAAUAUGAUGGAAAGUAACCCCAAUACUGUUCAAAUGCUUAUUAUCAACCCGCUUCCUGCACUUUCUGACUCUUUUUAAUCUCUCUAGCUAUUCCUUGUGGAUUUAUACUCCCAUAUAAAUCUUACCAUAGAUCUUCAUCAUCCUGGCAAAGUGAGCACACCCUUCUGUCUUUUUGAGUAAUAUUAAAGGCACAGUUCACCCAAAAUGUGAAUUCUGUAAUUAUUUGCAAAAGCAGAAAUUUUGCAGAAUGUUGAUGCUGUUCUUUUUCAUAAAAUGAGUGAAUGGUGAUCAAAUAGUAAAUAGCAAAAUAAAAUAUGUAUUUGUAAAUGUUAUAGCUUGUAUUCACUUUCACAAAAUAAAACAACCAAAACAAA
This is a non-coding RNA of Danio rerio (zebrafish), 2082 nucleotides long. The record is from RefSeq and is a predicted model, not a curated record. NCBI's taxonomy places the organism in Eukaryota, Metazoa, Chordata, Actinopteri, Cypriniformes, Danionidae.